CGGCGCCUAACCCACUGAGCACAGGUGCCACCAAUGACUGACCCGGUUAAGCUCAAAAGCAGUCUGGAGACAGAAUGUCCUCUUCUCAGAAGACCUCUGUCUUUCACCUUAAGACCUUCAGUGAUUGAAUGAGGCCCAUCCACAUUAUGGAAGAUUAAUAUGAGGGUACAUAUGAUUAAGUUACAUUGUUUGCAUUUGUAAAGUAAAGACUGAGUUGCUGUUAAGUCCUUCAUCCAUCUUAUAGAUGAAAAAUUAAGGGACAUUCAACAAUUGGUACUGGAAUUUCUGGGCAUCUACAAAAAGAAGAGAAAGAAGAAGAAUCAUCCAGACAUAGACCUUACACCUUUCACAAAAAUUAACUUUAAAUGUAUCACAGACCUAAAUAUGAUACACAAACUGAAGACUCUUAGAAGAUAACACAGGAGAAAAUUUAGAUGACCUUGCGUAUGAUAAUGCAUUUUUUUACAUACAACAUUAAAAACACAAUUCAGGAAAGAAAAAAAGUGAUAAGUUGGGCUUCAUUAAUAUUAAAAACUACUUCUCUGUGAAAGACAUUGUUAAGAACAUGAACAGACAAGCCAAAGACUGGGAGAAAAUAUUUGAAAAACAUAUCUCUGAUAAGACCUUAUAGCCAAUAUAUACAAAGACCUCUUAAAAUUCAGUAAUAAGAAAAUAACAACCCAAUUAAGAAGUGGACAACAGGUCUGAACAGAAACCUCUGCCAAGGGGAUACACAAUUGGUAAAUAGACAUGUGAAAAGAUGGCCGACAUCAUAUGUCAUCAAGGAUUUACAAUUUAAAACAAGAUACUACUACAUGCCUAUUUUCAUAAACUGCCAAAAAAUCCAAAAUACUGACAACAUUAAAUGCUGAAGAAAAUGUGUAGCAAAGGACCUCUCAUUCAUUACUGGUGGGAAUGUAAAAUGGUAUGAUUUUGGAGGAAAUUCUGGCAGUUUCUUACAAAACUAAACAUACUUAUAUAUGAUCCAUCCAUCAAUUGCACUUCCUUGGUAUUUACCCAAAUGUAUUAAAAAUGAAUGUCCACACAAAAACCUGCACAUGAAUGUUUAUAAUAGCUUUAUUUAUAAUUAUCAAAAUGUGGAAGCAAUGAAAAUGUCUUUCAUUAGAUGAAUGAAUAAACUGUGGUACAUAUAUACCAUGGAAUCUUAUUCAGCACCUAAAAAGAAUGAGCUAUCAAGACACAAAAAGACAUGUAUGGAACUUAAAAACAUAUUGUUAAGUGACUGAAAAGUCCUUAUACUGUAUAAUUCCAACUAUAUGCCAUUCUUUUGAAGCUCAAAACCAUGGCAACAGGUAAAAAGAACAGCAGGGAAUAGGGAAGCAGAGAGAGAGGUAAGGAAUGAGUAAAUAGAUCACAGGGGAUUUUUAGGACAGUGAAACUAUUCUGUAUAUGUGUGUAAUAGUGUUAUGGUAGAUACACAUCUUUAUACAUUUGUCAAAUACCAUAGAGUGUACAAUACAAAAAGUGAAGUUUAAUGUAAACAAUGUACUUUAGCUAAUAAAGUAUCAAUAUUGGCUAAUCAGUUGUAACAAAUGUACCUCACUAUUGAAGAUGUUAAUAAGAGAAACUGGCGGACGGUGCAGUGGUAUAUGGAAAAUAUUUCACUUUCUGCCUAUUUUUAUGUAAAGCUAAAACUGCUCUAAA
Long non-coding RNA from Nycticebus coucang (slow loris), 1665 nucleotides. RefSeq lists it as uncharacterized. NCBI's taxonomy places the organism in Eukaryota, Metazoa, Chordata, Mammalia, Primates, Lorisidae. The transcript has 3 exons. The record is from RefSeq and is a predicted model, not a curated record.